Molecule: ribosomal RNA, 253 nt
Filed under: uncultured bacterium
Lineage: Bacteria
Description: partial 16S ribosomal RNA
Rfam family: Bacterial small subunit ribosomal RNA
Source: RNAcentral
UACGUAGGCAGCGAGCGUUGUUCGGAGUUACUGGGCGUAAAGGGCGCGUAGGCGGCGUAACAAGUCACUUGUGAAAUCUCCGGGCUUAACCCGGAGCGGCCAAGUGAUACUGUUGUGCUAGAGUGCGGAAGGGGCUACUGGAAUUCUCGGUGUAGCGGUGAAAUGCGUAGAUAUCCGGAGGAACACCGGUGGCGAAGGCGGCUUCCUGGACCGACACUGACGCUGAGGCGCGAAAGCUAGGGGAGCAAACGGG